UGGGGAAUUUUGGACAAUGGGCGAAAGCCUGAUCCAGCCAUGCCGCGUGUGUGAAGAAGGCCUUCGGGUUGUAACGCACUCCAAGCGAGGAGUAAUGACCUCUGGGUUAAUACCCUUGAGCAGUGACGUUACUCGCAGAAUAAGCACCGGCUAACUCUGUGCCAGCAGCCGCGGUAAU
Molecule: ribosomal RNA, 178 nt
Filed under: uncultured bacterium
Lineage: Bacteria
Description: partial 16S ribosomal RNA
Rfam family: Bacterial small subunit ribosomal RNA
Source: RNAcentral